UCCUACGGGUGGCUGCAGUGGGGAAUUUUGGACAAUGGGCGCAAGCCUGAUCCAGCCAUGCCGCGUGAGUGAAGAAGGCCUUCGGGUUGUAAAGCUCUUUCGGUGAAGACGAAACGGUUAGUGUUAAUAGCACUGACUAAUGACGGUACUCACAGAAGAAGCACCGGCUAACUACGUGCCAGCAGCCGCGGUAAUACGUAGGGUGCAGGCGUUAAUCGGAAUUACUGGGCGUAAAGCGUGCGCAGGCGGUUUGCUAAGACAGGUGUGAAAUCCCCGGGCUUAACCUGGGAAUUGCGCUUGUAACUGGCAAGCUAGAGUGUGGCAGAGGGGGGUGGAAUUCCACGUGUAGCAGUGAAAUGCGUAGAUAUGUGGAGGAACACCGAUGGCGAAGGCAGCCCCCUGGGUUAACACUGACGCUCAUGCACGAAAGCGUGGGGAGCAAACAGGAUUAGAUACCCCAGUAGUC
Molecule: ribosomal RNA, 466 nt
Filed under: uncultured beta proteobacterium
Lineage: Bacteria; Pseudomonadati; Pseudomonadota; Betaproteobacteria
Description: bacterial SSU rRNA
Rfam family: Bacterial small subunit ribosomal RNA
Source: RNAcentral